GAUGAACGCUGGCGGCGUGCCUAAUACAUGCAAGUCGAGCGAACGGACGAGAAGCUUGCUUCUCUGAUGUUAGCGGCGGACGGGUGAGUAACACGUGGAUAACCUACCUAUAAGACUGGGAUAACUUCGGGAAACCGGAGCUAAUACCGGAUAAUAUUUUGAACCGCAUGGUUCAAAAGUGAAAGACGGUCUUGCUGUCACUUAUAGAUGGAUCCGCGCUGCAUUAGCUAGUUGGUAAGGUAACGGCUUACCAAGGCAACGAUGCAUAGCCGACCUGAGAGGGUGAUCGGCCACACUGGAACUGAGACACGGUCCAGACUCCUACGGGAGGCAGCAGUAGGGAAUCUUCCGCAAUGGGCGAAAGCCUGACGGAGCAACGCCGCGUGAGUGAUGAAAGUCUUCGGAUCGUAAAACUCUGUUAUUAGGGAAGAACAUAUGUGUAAGUAACUGUGCACAUCUUGACGGUACCUAAUCAGAAAGCCACGGCUAACUACGUGCCAGCAGCCGCGGUAAUACGUAGGUGGCAAGCGUUAUCCGGAAUUAUUGGGCGUAAAGCGCGCGUAGGCGGUUUUUUAAGUCUGAUGUGAAAGCCCACGGCUCAAUCGUGGAGGGUCAUUGGAAACUGGAAAACUUGAGUGCAGAAGAGGAAAGUGGAAUUCCAUGUGUAGCGGUGAAAUGCGCAGAGAUAUGGAGGAACACCAGUGGCGAAGGCGACUUUCUGGUCUGUAACUGACGCUGAUGUGCGAAAGCGUGGGGAUCAAACAGGAUUAGAUACCCUGGUAGUCCACGCCGUAAACGAUGAGUGCUAAGUGUUAGGGGGUUUCCGCCCCUUAGUGCUGCAGCUAACGCAUUAAGCACUCCGCCUGGGGAGUACGACCGCAAGGUUGAAACUCAAAGGAAUUGACGGGGACCCGCACAAGCGGUGGAGCAUGUGGUUUAAUUCGAAGCAACGCGAAGAACCUUACCAAAUCUUGACAUCCUCUGACCCCUCUAGAGAUAGAGUUUUCCCCUUCGGGGGACAGAGUGACAGGUGGUGCAUGGUUGUCGUCAGCUCGUGUCGUGAGAUGUUGGGUUAAGUCCCGCAACGAGCGCAACCCUUAAGCUUAGUUGCCAUCAUUAAGUUGGGCACUCUAAGUUGACUGCCGGUGACAAACCGGAGGAAGGUGGGGAUGACGUCAAAUCAUCAUGCCCCUUAUGAUUUGGGCUACACACGUGCUACAAUGGACAAUACAAAGGGCAGCGAAACCGCGAGGUCAAGCAAAUCCCAUAAAGUUGUUCUCAGUUCGGAUUGUAGUCUGCAACUCGACUAUAUGAAGCUGGAAUCGCUAGUAAUCGUAGAUCAGCAUGCUACGGUGAAUACGUUCCCGGGUCU
This 1372-nucleotide ribosomal RNA is filed under the name uncultured bacterium. Its description in RNAcentral is "bacterial SSU rRNA". It matches the Rfam family "Bacterial small subunit ribosomal RNA", at positions 28 to 1381 of the family's 1533-position model. The record is from RNAcentral.